CAAUAGCGUAUAUUUAAGUUGUUGCAGUUAAAAAGCUCGUAGUUGGAUUUCGGUUAAGAGCGACCGGUCCGCCGUUUGGUGUGCACUGGUUGGUUUUAACUUCCUGUAGAGGACGUGCUCUGGGUUUAACGACCUGGACUCGGAGUCUACGUGGUUACUUUGAAAAAAUUAGAGUGUUCAAAGCGGGCUUACGCUUGAAUAUUUCAGCAUGGAAUAACACUAUAGGACUCCUGUCCUAUUUCGUUGGUCUCGGGACGGGAGUAAUGAUUAAGAGGAACAGUUGGGGGCAUUCAUAUUUCAUUGUCAGAGGUGAAAUUCUUGGAUUUAUGAAAGACGAACUUCUGCGAAAGCAUUUGCCAAGGAUGUUUUCAUUAA
RNAcentral lists this ribosomal RNA (375 nucleotides) under uncultured eukaryote. Its description in RNAcentral is "partial 18S ribosomal RNA". It matches the Rfam family "Eukaryotic small subunit ribosomal RNA", at positions 592 to 976 of the family's 1831-position model. The record is from RNAcentral.